RNAcentral lists this ribosomal RNA (106 nucleotides) under Escherichia coli. Its description in RNAcentral is "partial 23S ribosomal RNA". The stretch from base 1 to 89 matches the Rfam family "Bacterial large subunit ribosomal RNA", at positions 2837 to 2925 of the family's 2925-position model. Lineage: Bacteria; Pseudomonadati; Pseudomonadota; Gammaproteobacteria; Enterobacterales; Enterobacteriaceae. The record is from RNAcentral.
GUUGAAGACGACGACGUUGAUAGGCCGGGUGUGUAAGCGCAGCGAUGCGUUGAGCUAACCAGUACUAAUGAACCGUGAGGCUUAACCUUACAACGCCGAAGCUGUU